AUACGUAGGUGACAAGCGUUAUCCGGAUUUACUGGGCGUAAAGGGCGUGUAGGCGGUCUUGCAAGUCAGAAGUGAAAUUCCUGAGCUCAACUCGGGCGCUGCUUCUGAAACUGCAGGACUUGAGUGCUGGAGGGGAUAGCGGAAUUCCUAGUGGAGCGGUAAAAUGCGCAGAUAUUAGGAAGAACACCGGUGGCGAAGGCGGCUAUCUGGACAGUAACUGACGCUGAGGCGCGAAAGCGUGGGGAGCAAACAGGAUUAGAUACCCUGGUAGUCCACGCCAUAAACGAUGAAUACUAGGUGUAGGGGGUAUCGACCCCCUCUGUGCCGACGUUAACACAUUAAGUAUUCCACCUGGGGAGUACGGCCGCAAGGCUGAAACUCAAAUGAAUUGACGGGG
This 397-nucleotide ribosomal RNA is filed under the name uncultured bacterium. Its description in RNAcentral is "partial 16S ribosomal RNA". It matches the Rfam family "Bacterial small subunit ribosomal RNA", at positions 523 to 918 of the family's 1533-position model. The record is from RNAcentral.